Molecule: ribosomal RNA, 356 nt
Filed under: uncultured Anaerolineaceae bacterium
Lineage: Bacteria; Bacillati; Chloroflexota; Anaerolineae; Anaerolineales; Anaerolineaceae
Description: bacterial SSU rRNA
Rfam family: Bacterial small subunit ribosomal RNA
Source: RNAcentral
GACGACCCUUCGGGGAGCCUCUACAGGUGUUGCAUGGCUGUCGUCAGCUCGUGUCGUGAGAUGUUCGGUUAAGUCCGCUAACGAGCGCAACCCUCGCUGUGUGUUACAAGUGUCACACGGUACUGCCGAUAUUAAGUCGGAGGAAGGUGGGGAUGGCGUCAAGUCAGCAUGACCUUUAUAUCCAGGGCUACACACACGCUACAAUGGCCAGUACAAUGGGUUGCCAAGCCGCGAGGCGGAGCCAAUCCUAAAAAGCUGGCCUCAGUUCAGAUUGCAGUCUGCAACUCGACUGCAUGAAGUUGGAGUUGCUAGUAACCGCAGGUCAGCAAUACUGCGGUGAAUACGUUCCCGGGAUU